CCUACGGGUGGCAGCAGUGAGGAAUAUUGGUCAAUGGGAGAGAUCCUGAACCAGCUAAGCCGCGUGAGGGAAGACGGCCCUAUGGGUUGUAAACCUCUUUUGUCGGAGCACAAAACCCGGGACGUGUCCCGGACUGCGUGUAUCCGAAGCAAAAGCAUCGGCUAACUCAGUGCCAGCAGACGCGGUAAUACGGGGGAUGCGAGCGUUAUCGGGAUUUAUUGGGUUUAACGGGUGCGUAGGCGGUCCGUUAAGUCAGCGGGAAAAUUGCGGGGCUCAACCCCGUCGAGCCGAUGAAACUGGCAGACUUGAGUUGGCGAGAGGUACGCGGAAUGCGCGGUGUAGCGGUGAAAUGCAUAGAUAUCGCGCAGAACUCCGAUUGCGAAGGCAGCGUACCGGCGCCAGACUGACGCUGAGGCACGAAAGCGUGGGGAUCGAACAGGAUUAGAUACCCUUGUAGUC
RNAcentral lists this ribosomal RNA (459 nucleotides) under uncultured bacterium. RNAcentral's name for it is "partial 16S ribosomal RNA". It matches the Rfam family "Bacterial small subunit ribosomal RNA", at positions 338 to 795 of the family's 1533-position model. The record is from RNAcentral.